This is a non-coding RNA of Phoenix dactylifera (date palm), 579 nucleotides long. The record is from RefSeq and is a predicted model, not a curated record. Lineage: Eukaryota; Viridiplantae; Streptophyta; Magnoliopsida; Arecales; Arecaceae.
GCAAGAGCAGUUUGAGAAGUCGGCAGCUGGGAGAGCGGCAAUCAAGCAGAUGGCAGCAAUGAAGCAAUCCAGUGUCUCUGACAAAGGAGAACCGGUUCUCAAGUGGCAGAUGGGAAUGAAUACUAGCUGAUUUGGGGAUCGACCAUGAUCGUGUAAAUAAUAUUUGUGAUUUGCUUUUGGGUUGCAUUCUGCUCAGCGAAAGUACAGAUACUCCGAGCAAAUUCACUUGAGAAAUUUAAUGCGGAGACGUUUUCUUAUUUGGGGAUAAUGUAAUGUCUGUCUGUCUCUUUGUAUUUUUUUUUUCUCGAAGCAGCAAAAAGUCAUUAUGUAUCCAUAGAUCAAGUCAAGUGUAAAAACAGGAUGGGAUUGUCCUGUAAAUACCCAUUAUAUGACAAUAAAUAUAUCUGGAACUGCACUGGGCUUUUAUCUUUCUUCUCAGUAGAAACCUAGUGUCACAAGUGAAUUAUCAUUCUUACUUUCUGGAUAUAUUGGCAUCUCUGCUCGGUAUGUAGUUAAGUGUGGUUCUACAGUGAGAAAGAAAAAAAAAAAAAAUCUGUUUUCAAGGGCCAUGGAGGCAUU